GGGUUGUGAGGUUAAGCGACUAAGCGUACACGGUGGAUGCCUAGGCAGUCAGAGGCGAUGAAGGGCGUGCUAAUCUGCGAUAAGCGUCGGUAAGGUGAUAUGAACCGUUAYAACCGACGAUACCCGAAUGGGGAAACCCAGUGUGUUUCGACACACUAUCAUGUCAUGAAUACAUAGUGGCAUGAGGCGAACCGGGGGAACUGAAACAUCUAAGUACCCCGAGGAAAAGAAAUCAACCGAGAUUCCCCCAGUAGCGGCGAGCGAACGGGGAACAGCCCAGAACCUGAAUCAGUUUGUGCGUUAGUGGAAGCGUCUGGAAAGUCGCAGGGUACAGGGUGAUACUCCCGUACACAAAAGCGCAYAUUCUGUGAGUUCGAUGAGUAGGGCGGGACACGUGACAUCCUGUCUGAAUAUGGGGGGACCAUCCUCCAAGGCUAAAUACUCCUGACUGACCGAUAGUGAACCAGUACCGUGAGGGAAAGGCGAAAAGAACCCCGGCGAGGGGAGUGAAACAGAACCUGAAACCGUGUACGUACAAGCAGUGGGAGCACCUUCGUGGUGUGACUGCGUACCUUUUGUAUAAUGGGUCAGCGACUUAUAUUCUGUAGCAAGGUUAACCGUAUAGGGGAGCCGAAGGGAAACCGAGUCUUAACUGGGCGUUAAGUUGCAGGGUAUAGACCCGAAACCCGGUGAUCUAGCCAUGGGCAGGUUGAAGGUUGGGUAACACUAACUGGAGGACCGAACCGACUAAUGUUGAAAAAUUAGCGGAUGACUUGUGGCUGGGGGUGAAAGGCCAAUCAAACCGGGAGAUAGCUGGUUCUCCCCGAAAGCUAUUUAGGUAGCGCCUCGUGAACUCAUCUUCGGGGGUAGAGCACUGUUUCGGCUAGGGGGCCAUCCCGGCUUACCAACCCGAUGCAAACUGCGAAUACCGAAGAAUGUUAUCACGGGAGACACACGGCGGGUGCUAACGUCCGUCGUGAAGAGGGAAACAACCCAGACCGCCAGCUAAGGUCCCAAAGUCAUGGUUAAGUGGGAAACGAUGUGGGAAGGCACAGACAGCCAGGAUGUUGGCUUAGAAGCAGCCAUCAUUUAAAGAAAGCGUAAUAGCUCACUGGUCGAGUCGGCCUGCGCGGAAGAUGUAACGGGGCUAAACCAUGCACCGAAGCUGCGGCAGCGACAUGUAAAUGUUGUUGGGUAGGGGAGCGUUCUGUAAGCCGUCGAAGGUGGACUGUGAGGUCUGCUGGAGGUAUCAGAAGUGCGAAUGCUGACAUAAGUAACGAUAAAGCGGGUGAAAAGCCCGCUCGCCGGAAGACCAAGGGUUCCUGUCCAACGUUAAUCGGGGCAGGGUGAGUCGACCCCUAAGGCGAGGCCGAAAGGCGUAGUCGAUGGGAAACGGGUUAAUAUUCCCGUACUCGGUGUUACUGCGAAGGGGGGACGGAGAAGGCUAUGUUAGCCGGGCGACGGUUGUCCCGGUUUAAGCAUGUAGGCGGAGGUCUUAGGUAAAUCCGGGACCUUAUCAACGCUGAGGUGUGAYGACGAGGCACUACGGUGCUGAAGUAACAAAUGCCCUGCUUCCAGGAAAAGCCUCUAAGCAUCAGGUAACAUYGAAUCGUACCCCAAACCGACACAGGUGGUCAGGUAGAGAAUACCAAGGCGCUUGAGAGAACUCGGGUGAAGGAACUAGGCAAAAUGGUGCCGUAACUUCGGGAGAAGGCACGCUGUCGGUAGGUGAAGGGACUUGCUCCUGGAGCCGAAGGCAGUCGAAGAUACCAGCUGGCUGCAACUGUUUAUUAAAAACACAGCACUGUGCAAACACGAAAGUGGACGUAUACGGUGUGACGCCUGCCCGGUGCCGGAAGGUUAAUUGAUGGGGUUAUCGCGCUGCGAGAAGCUCUUGAUCGAAGCCCCGGUAAACGGCGGCCGUAACUAUAACGGUCCUAAGGUAGCGAAAUUCCUUGUCGGGUAAGUUCCGACCUGCACGAAUGGCGUAAUGAUGGCCAGGCUGUCUCCACCCGAGACUCAGUGAAAUUGAACUCGCUGUGAAGAUGCAGUGUACCCGCGGCAAGACGGAAAGACCCCGUGAACCUUUACUAUAGCUUGACACUGAACAUUGAGCCUUGAUGUGUAGGAUAGGUGGGAGGCUUUGAAGCGUGGACGCCAGUCUGCGUGGAGCCAUCCUUGAAAUACCACCCUUUAACGUUUGAUGUUCUAACCUGGCGCCGUAAUCCGGCGUGGGGACAGUGUCUGGUGGGUAGUUUGACUGGGGCGGUCUCCUCCCAAAGAGUAACGGAGGAGCACGAAGGUUAGCUAAUCACGGUCGGACAUCGUGAGGUUAGUGCAAUGGCAUAAGCUAGCUUGACUGCGAGAGUGACGGCUCGAGCAGGUGCGAAAGCAGGUCAUAGUGAUCCGGUGGUUCUGAAUGGAAGGGCCAUCGCUCAACGGAUAAAAGGUACUCCGGGGAUAACAGGCUGAUACCGCCCAAGAGUUCAUAUCGACGGCGGUGUUUGGCACCUCGAUGUCGGCUCAUCACAUCCUGGGGCUGAAGUAGGUCCCAAGGGUACGGCUGUUCGCCGUUUAAAGUGGUACGCGAGCUGGGUUUAGAACGUCGUGAGACAGUUCGGUCCCUAUCUGCCGUGGGCGCUGGAGAAUUGAGAGGGGUUGCUCCUAGUACGAGAGGACCGGAGUGAACGCACCACUGGUGUUCGGGUUGUCAUGCCAAUGGCAUUGCCCGGUAGCUAAGUGCGGAAAAGAUAAGCGCUGAAAGCAUCUAAGCGCGAAACUUGCCUCGAGAUGAGUUCUCCCUGGKUCCUUGAGACCCCUGAAGGGACGUUGAAGACUACGACGUUGAUAGGCCGGGUGUGUAAGCGCAGCGAUGCGUUGAGCUAACCGGUACUAAUGACCCGUGAGGCUUAACCUUACAACGCCAGAAGCGUUCUGGUNCUACGACGUUGAUAGGCCGGGUGUGUAAGCGCAGCGAUGCGUUGAGCUAACCGGUACUAAUGACCCGUGAGGCUUAACCUUACAACGCCAGAAGCGUUCUG
This 3041-nucleotide ribosomal RNA is filed under the name Erwinia sp. Leaf53. Its description in RNAcentral is "bacterial LSU rRNA". It matches the Rfam family "Bacterial large subunit ribosomal RNA". The record is from RNAcentral. Lineage: Bacteria; Pseudomonadati; Pseudomonadota; Gammaproteobacteria; Enterobacterales; Erwiniaceae.